This 253-nucleotide ribosomal RNA is filed under the name uncultured bacterium. Its description in RNAcentral is "partial 16S ribosomal RNA". It matches the Rfam family "Bacterial small subunit ribosomal RNA", at positions 524 to 776 of the family's 1533-position model. The record is from RNAcentral.
UACGUAGGGGGCGAGCGUUGUCCGGAUUUAUUGGGCGUAAAGAGCUCGUAGGCGGUUUGGUAAGUCGGGUGUGAAAUUUUUCGGCUUAACCGGGAAAGGUCGUCGGAUACUGCAAGGCUAGAGGACGGUAGAGGCGUGUGGAAUUCCGGGUGUAGUGGUGAAAUGCGUAGAGAUCCGGAGGAACACCAGUGGCGAAGGCGACACGCUGGGCCGUACCUGACACUGAUGCGCGACAGCAUGGGGAGCAAACAGG